This 403-nucleotide ribosomal RNA is filed under the name uncultured bacterium. RNAcentral describes it as "partial 16S ribosomal RNA". It matches the Rfam family "Bacterial small subunit ribosomal RNA", at positions 30 to 526 of the family's 1533-position model. The record is from RNAcentral.
AUUGAACGCUGGCGGCAGGCCUAACACAUGCAAGUCGAGCGAGCGUCGGACGGGUGAGUAAUGUAUGGGGACUGCCCGAUAGAGGGGGAUAACUACUGUAAACGGUAGCUAAUACCCCAUACUAUCGGAUAACCCCUUUGGGAUUAGCUAGUAGGUGGGGUAAAGGCUUACCUAGGCGACGAUCUCUAGCUGGUCUGGGAGGAUGAUCAGCCACACUGGGACUGAGACACGGCCCAGACUCCUACGGAGGCAGCAGUGGGGAAUAUGGCACAAUGGGCGCAAGCCUGAUGCAGCCAUGCCGCGUGUAUGAAGAAGGCCUUAGGGUUGUAAAGUACUUUCAGCGGGGAGGCGUUACCCGCAGAAGAAGCACCGGCUAACUCCGUGCCAGCCGCCGCGGUAAUAC